GUCCAUGCCGUAAACGAUGAUUACUAGGUGUUGGGGGAUUGACCCCCUCAGUGCCGCAGUUAACACAAUAAGUAAUCCACCUGGGGAGUACGACCGCAAGGUUGAAACUCAAAGGAAUUGACGGGGGCCCGCACAAGCAGUGGAGUAUGUGGUUUAAUUCGAAGCAACGCGAAGAACCUUACCAGGUCUUGACAUCCGAUGCAUAGCACAGAGAUGUGUGAAAUCCUUCGGGACAUCGAGACAGGUGGUGCAUGGUUGUCGU
Molecule: ribosomal RNA, 262 nt
Filed under: uncultured bacterium
Lineage: Bacteria
Description: partial 16S ribosomal RNA
Rfam family: Bacterial small subunit ribosomal RNA
Source: RNAcentral